GGAAUAGCUCAGUGGUAGAGUGCCUGCUUAGCAUGCAUCAAGGUCCUGGGUUCAAUCCCCAGUGCCUCCA
Molecule: transfer RNA, 70 nt
Filed under: Camelus bactrianus (Bactrian camel)
Lineage: Eukaryota; Metazoa; Chordata; Mammalia; Artiodactyla; Camelidae
Also listed under: 2 other names
Rfam family: tRNA
About the family: Transfer RNA (tRNA) molecules are approximately 80 nucleotides in length. Their secondary structure includes four short double-helical elements and three loops (D, anti-codon, and T loops).
Source: Rfam by way of RNAcentral